RNAcentral lists this ribosomal RNA (253 nucleotides) under uncultured bacterium. RNAcentral describes it as "partial 16S ribosomal RNA". It matches the Rfam family "Bacterial small subunit ribosomal RNA", at positions 524 to 776 of the family's 1533-position model. The record is from RNAcentral.
UACGGAGGAUGCGAGCGUUAUCCGGAUUUAUUGGGUUUAAAGGGUGCGUAGGCCGGAUGGUAAGUCGGCGGUGAAAUUCUGGAGCUCAACUCCAGACCUGCCGUUGAAACUGCCGUUCUUGAGUAAAGUUGAGGUAGGCGGAAUUCGUAGUGUAGCGGUGAAAUGCAUAGAUAUUACGAGGAACUCCGAUAGCGCAGGCAGCUUACCAAAUUUUCACUGACGCUGAGGCACGAAAGUGUGGGUAUCAAACAGG